AACGAACGCUGGCGGCAUGCCUAACACAUGCAAGUCGAACGAGACCUUCGGGUCUAGUGGCGCACGGGUGCGUAACGCGUGGGAACCUGCCCUUAGGCUCCGAAUAACUCCCCGAAAGGGGUGCUAAUACCGGAUAAUGUCCUCGGACCAAAGAUUUAUCGCCUUUGGAUGGGCCCGCGUUGGAUUAGCUAGUUGGUAGGGUAAAAGCCUACCACGGCGACGAUCCAUAGCUGGUCUGAGAGGAUGAGCAGCCACACUGGGACUGAGACACGGCCCAGACUCCUACGGGAGGCAGCAGUGGGGAAUAUUGGACAAUGGGCGAAAGCCUGAUCCAGCAAUGCCGCGUGAGUGAUGAAGGCCUUAGGGUUGUAAAGCUCUUUUACCCGGGAUGAUAAUGACAGUACCGGGAGAAUAAGCUCCGGCUAACUCCGUG
RNAcentral lists this ribosomal RNA (433 nucleotides) under uncultured bacterium. RNAcentral describes it as "partial 16S ribosomal RNA". It matches the Rfam family "Bacterial small subunit ribosomal RNA", at positions 29 to 507 of the family's 1533-position model. The record is from RNAcentral.